AUUUUUACUGUUUUCUCUUGAUUCAGAUCAUCCACAAUGAAAGGUUUAUUGGUUAGCCCAAAGUGAAAUCUGCUAUUGUUCCUAAUCAACAUCCUUGUCAUAAUUCUUCUUCGAUCUUCUUCUGUUAGUUCUAACAAGUCUAUUUGAUACUUGACUAAUUUAGUCUUGCUCCUACAGAGCUCCAAGAAACAAACAAGAAGAUGGAUAAAUCAUGGAUGAAAGAAGAUAGGAGAUCACUAAAGUUUCAUAUAG
Molecule: long non-coding RNA, 252 nt
Organism: Rosa chinensis
Lineage: Eukaryota; Viridiplantae; Streptophyta; Magnoliopsida; Rosales; Rosaceae
Exons: 3
Source: RefSeq, a predicted model, not a curated record